AUGCAUAAUGUGCACAACAUCGUAGGAGUGAUCAUCAGUAACACAAUUAUAAUGCAAUUUCGAAGGGCUAAGAGCAAGAACAUACCUACAGACGACGAAGUGCCAGGAGCUCCGUCCAUGCUGAAGAACACCGUAGAUGUUGAUCCACGGAGAGGACAAUUUUCUGUCAAUCUUGAUCUAUUCUCCUCCCAUCAGGAGUGGGUAACAAUGGAAAUAGAUUGGACAAUUAUUCCUUACAAAAGUGGUUUACACCGGUGUUUAUCCGCAUCAUAUGGUUUAACGGACAUGGGACAAGUUGCCUACUGCAAAAGAGACUAUUAUAUCACUGAGCUGUUGAAUAACUCAUACCGGUUUAUAUCACGACCAAAUAUGGAGAGUCUCAAGCCAACUCCUCGAGUAAUCUUAAGACUCGGGGGCUACAAUGACAUGACUCGGGAACUCCGGGUCAUUGGAGGGAAUGAUAACCCGGUUCCGGAGGACACUGCCACAUUGAUGAAAAUUUAA
Molecule: ribosomal RNA, 504 nt
Filed under: Triticum aestivum (bread wheat)
Lineage: Eukaryota; Viridiplantae; Streptophyta; Magnoliopsida; Poales; Poaceae
Description: partial small subunit ribosomal RNA
Source: RNAcentral